AAUGACUAUCAAUCUGUCUUUCUUAUUUUUCUUUUUCACCUUCUCAUAAGGAGGUUUUUUCGUUUUAAAAAGAAAUCAAGAAGACGAACAAAAACCUCCCUACCGAUGGGAGGUUUUUUUGUU
Non-coding RNA from Xenorhabdus khoisanae, 123 nucleotides. The record is from Rfam. Lineage: Bacteria; Pseudomonadati; Pseudomonadota; Gammaproteobacteria; Enterobacterales; Morganellaceae.